GAACAGAAGAUCUAACCAAUACAGUUCAGUCUUAGCACUACAUAUUAAUAAUGUAACAUAUAUUGUGUAUAUAGUAUUGGUUAGGGGUGAAAGGCCUCCAAUUCUUUAAUAUCUGGAUUUAUAUAAAAUAUAUUUAGUAUAAGAUGAUUUCUCAAAUUAAAAAUGUUAAGGUUUUUAAUAUGAUUAAAUUUUUUUAGAUAAGUUUUGAUAAGUGAUAACCCUCCUAUAAAACUUAAAUUAACUAUUUAAUUAAAAUUGAUUAAUUCUAUUAAUGUAAAAACCUUAUGUAAUAAAUCAAUGGUUAUAUAAUGUUUAAAUAAGUAAUUUAAAGUAAUUUAGUAAAAGGAACUCGGCAAACAGUCUUAUCGUCUGUUUAACAAAAACAUAGCUUGACGUCUAUCUUUAUGUUAGGUUAUUUCUGCCCGGUGAAAAUUUUAACGGCCGCAGUACCCUGACUGUGCUAAGGUAGCAUAAUAAAUUGGCUUUUAAAUGGAGUCUAGUAUCAACGGAAUGUCGGGUAAUUACUGUCUCUUUCUAAUUCUCUCUAAAUUGAUUAAAAGGUGAAAAUACCUUUAUUAUACUUUAUAGACAAGAAGACCCUAAGAAUUUUCAUAAUAUAAGUAAUCGAUUAUUUAAUAAUUUUUGUUGGGGCGACAAAGUAACAUGGAACUUACUUAACUAUUUAAUACAUGUCAGUAAUUUAUGGAAAGAUAAAAUUACCUUAGGGAUAACAGCAUAAUAAAUAUUUUGAUUGUGACCUCGAUGUUGGAUUAGGGAAAAUAAGAACUAGUCGUUGUUAUUUAUGGUUCUGUUCGAACUUCAAUGAAACCUACAUGAUCUGAGUUCAGACCGGCGUAAGCCAGGUCAG
RNAcentral lists this ribosomal RNA (868 nucleotides) under Natalina sp. AM-2008. RNAcentral describes it as "partial 16S ribosomal RNA". The record is from RNAcentral. Lineage: Eukaryota; Metazoa; Mollusca; Gastropoda; Stylommatophora; Rhytididae.